AGAACGAACGCUGGCGGCAUGCCUAAUACAUGCAAGUCGAACGAACACUUCGGUGUUAGUGGCGCACGGGUGCGUAACGCGUGGGAAUCUGCCCUUGGGUUCGGAAUAACAGUUGGAAACGACUGCUAAUACCGGAUGAUGACGAAAGUCCAAAGAUUUAUCGCCCAGGGAUGAGCCCGCGUAGGAUUAGCUAGUUGGUGAGGUAAAGGCUCACCAAGGCGACGAUCCUUAGCUGGUCUGAGAGGAUGAUCAGCCACACUGGGACUGAGACACGGCCCAGACUCCUACGGGAGGCAGCAGUGGGGAAUAUUGGACAAUGGGCGAAAGCCUGAUCCAGCAAUGCCGCGUGAGUGAUGAAGGCCUUAGGUUGUAAAGCUCUUUUACCCGGGAUGAUAAUGACAGUACCGGAGAAUAAGCUCCGGCUAACCUCCGUACCAGCAGCCGAC
RNAcentral lists this ribosomal RNA (446 nucleotides) under uncultured soil bacterium. Its description in RNAcentral is "bacterial SSU rRNA". It matches the Rfam family "Bacterial small subunit ribosomal RNA", at positions 26 to 518 of the family's 1533-position model. The record is from RNAcentral.